GGGAGUCCCUCCCUCUAAAAGCACUCUGUGUGGGGAACAUGAGAGCCAGACCAAAGCUCAGAGCCCAGAGCUGUGGGGCGUACCAGGCUCAGCUGGACAUAACCCUAAAACUAAUCCAGAACCUGGACCUGAACCCAGCUGUGUUUCCUUAAAGA
Long non-coding RNA from Oreochromis niloticus (Nile tilapia), 155 nucleotides. RefSeq lists it as uncharacterized. The transcript has 2 exons. Lineage: Eukaryota; Metazoa; Chordata; Actinopteri; Cichliformes; Cichlidae. The record is from RefSeq and is a predicted model, not a curated record.